Unclassified non-coding RNA from Pongo abelii (Sumatran orangutan), 117 nucleotides. It matches the Rfam family "Metazoan signal recognition particle RNA". From Rfam's summary of the family: The signal recognition particle (SRP) is a universally conserved ribonucleoprotein. It is involved in the co-translational targeting of proteins to membranes. The record is from Ensembl. NCBI's taxonomy places the organism in Eukaryota, Metazoa, Chordata, Mammalia, Primates, Hominidae.
GCUGGGUGUGGUGACUCACACCUGUAAUCCUAGCACUUUGGGAGGCUGAGGUGGGUGGAUCACCUGAGGUCAGGAGUUCGAGACCAGCCUGGCCAACAUGGUGAAAUCUCAUCUCUA